Molecule: ribosomal RNA, 494 nt
Filed under: Pleospora sp. CBMAI1358
Lineage: Eukaryota; Fungi; Ascomycota; Dothideomycetes; Pleosporales; Pleosporaceae
Description: eukaryotic LSU rRNA
Rfam family: Eukaryotic large subunit ribosomal RNA
Source: RNAcentral
UCAGUAACGGCGAGUGAAGCGGCAACAGCUCAAAUUUGAAAUCUGGCCCUUUCAGGGUCCGAGUUGUAAUUUGCAGAGGGUGCUUUGGCGUCGGCCGUGGUCUAAGUUCCUUGGAACAGGACGUCACAGAGGGUGAGAAUCCCGUACGUGGCCGCCGGUCUUCGCCGUGUAAAGCCCCUUCGACGAGUCGAGUUGUUUGGGAAUGCAGCUCUAAAUGGGAGAUAAAUUUCUUCUAAAGCUAAAUAUUGGCCAGAGACCGAUAGCGCACAAGUAGAGUGAUCGAAAGAUGAAAAGCACUUUGGAAAGAGAGUCAAAAAGCACGUGAAAUUGUUGAAAGGGAAGCGCUUGCAGCCAGACGUGCCCGCAGUUGCUCACCUAGGCUUUUGCCUGGGGCAUUCUUCUGCGGGCAGGCCAGCAUCAGUUCGGACGGUUGGAUAAAGGCCUCUGUCACGUAUCUUCCUUCGGGAUGACCUUAUAGGGGAGGCGCAACACGA